This 483-nucleotide ribosomal RNA is filed under the name uncultured bacterium. Its description in RNAcentral is "partial 16S ribosomal RNA". It matches the Rfam family "Bacterial small subunit ribosomal RNA", at positions 28 to 507 of the family's 1533-position model. The record is from RNAcentral.
GAUGAACGCUGGCGGCGUGCCUAACACAUGCAAGUCGAACGGAGUCGUUUUGGAAAUCUCUUCGGAGAUGGAAUUCUCGACUUAGUGGCGGACGGGUGAGUAACGCGUGAGCAAUCUGCCUUUAAGAGGGGGAUAACAGUCGGAAACGGCUGCUAAUACCGCAUAAAGCAUUAAAUUCGCAUGUUUUUGAUGCCAAAGGAGCAAUCCGCUUUUAGAUGAGCUCGCGUCUGAUUAGCUAGUUGGCGGGGUAACGGCCCACCAAGGCGACGAUCAGUAGCCGGACUGAGGGGGUGAACGGCCACAUUGGGGCCGAGACACCGCCCAGACUCCCACGGGAGGGAGGAGGGGGGAAUAUUGCGCAAUGGGGGAAACCCUGACGCAGCAACGCCGCGUGAUGGAAGAAGGCCUUCGGGGUGUAAAGAUCUUUAAUCAGGGACGAAACAAAUGACGGUACCUGAAGAAUAAGCUCCGGCUAACUACGUG